AGGGAGAGAAGGAGAGAGGUAAAGAGGGAGAGAAGGAGAGAGGUAUUGGGAGAGAAGGAGAGAGGUAAAGAGGGAGAGAAGGAGAGAGGUAAAGAGGGAGAGAAGGAGAGGGGUAAAGAGGGAGAGAAGGAGAGAGGUAAAGAGGGAGAGAAGGAGAGAGGUAAAGAGGGAGAGAAGGAGAGGGGUAUUGGGAGAGAAGGAGAGAGGUAAAGAGGGAUAGAAGGAGAGAGUUAAAGAGGGAGAGAAGGAGAGAGGUAAAGAUGGAGAGGAGAGAGGUAAAGAGGGAGAGAAGGAGAGAGGUAAAUAGGGAGAGAAGGAGAAAGGUAAAAAGGGAGAGAAGGAGAGAGUUAAAGAGGGAGAGAAGGAGAGAGGUAAAGAGGGAGAGG
This is a long non-coding RNA of Oncorhynchus tshawytscha (Chinook salmon), 386 nucleotides long. Lineage: Eukaryota; Metazoa; Chordata; Actinopteri; Salmoniformes; Salmonidae. The record is from Ensembl.